This 702-nucleotide ribosomal RNA is filed under the name uncultured Serratia sp. Its description in RNAcentral is "bacterial SSU rRNA". It matches the Rfam family "Bacterial small subunit ribosomal RNA", at positions 808 to 1509 of the family's 1533-position model. The record is from RNAcentral. Lineage: Bacteria; Pseudomonadati; Pseudomonadota; Gammaproteobacteria; Enterobacterales; Yersiniaceae.
GAUGUCGACUUGGAGGUUGUGCCCUUGAGGCGUGGCUUCCGGAGCUAACGCGUUAAGUCGACCGCCUGGGGAGUACGGCCGCAAGGUUAAAACUCAAAUGAAUUGACGGGGGCCCGCACAAGCGGUGGAGCAUGUGGUUUAAUUCGAUGCAACGCGAAGAACCUUACCUGGCCUUGACAUCCACGGAAUUCGGCAGAGAUGCCUUAGUGCCUUCGGGAACCGUGAGACAGGUGCUGCAUGGCUGUCGUCAGCUCGUGUUGUGAAAUGUUGGGUUAAGUCCCGCAACGAGCGCAACCCUUAUCCUUUGUUGCCAGCGAGUAAUGUCGGGAACUCAAAGGAGACUGCCGGUGACAAACCGGAGGAAGGUGGGGAUGACGUCAAGUCAUCAUGGCCCUUACGGCCAGGGCUACACACGUGCUACAAUGGCGCAUACAAAGAGAAGCGAACUCGCGAGAGCAAGCGGACCUCACAAAGUGCGUCGUAGUCCGGAUCGGAGUCUGCAACUCGACUCCGUGAAGUCGGAAUCGCUAGUAAUCGUAGAUCAGAAUGCUACGGUGAAUACGUUCCCGGGCCUUGUACACACCGCCCGUCACACCAUGGGAGUGGGUUGCAAAAGAAGUAGGUAGCUUAACCUUCGGGAGGGCGCUUACCACUUUGUGAUUCAUGACUGGGGUGAAGUCGUAACAAGGUACCAAGGGCGAA